This 63-nucleotide transfer RNA is filed under the name Lygaeus sp. PJ-2017. RNAcentral describes it as "tRNA-Trp". RNAcentral also lists the same sequence under 1 other name. The record is from RNAcentral. Lineage: Eukaryota; Metazoa; Arthropoda; Insecta; Hemiptera; Lygaeidae.
AAAGCUUUAAGUUAAAUAAACUAUUAACCUUCAAAGUUAAAAUUAUAAUUGUUAUAAGCUUUA